GCUGGGUGCGGUGGCGCAUGCCUGUAAUCCCAGUGGCUCAGGAGGCUGAAGCAGAAGGAUCAUGAGUUCAAAGCCAGCCUCAGCAAUUUAGUGAGGGCCUAAGCAACUCAGUGAGACCCUGUCUCUA
Molecule: small RNA, 127 nt
Filed under: Marmota monax (woodchuck)
Lineage: Eukaryota; Metazoa; Chordata; Mammalia; Rodentia; Sciuridae
Source: RNAcentral